UCCUCGGUAGCUCAAUGGUAGAGCACGCGGCUGUUAACCGUGUGGUUGUAGGUUCGAGUCCUACCCGGGGAGCCA
RNAcentral lists this transfer RNA (75 nucleotides) under Bacillota bacterium. Its description in RNAcentral is "Firmicutes bacterium (anaerobic digester metagenome) tRNA-Asn". It matches the Rfam family "tRNA". From Rfam's summary of the family: Transfer RNA (tRNA) molecules are approximately 80 nucleotides in length. Their secondary structure includes four short double-helical elements and three loops (D, anti-codon, and T loops). Lineage: Bacteria; Bacillati; Bacillota. The record is from RNAcentral.